AAAUAUGAAAAUGAGUGAAGAACAAAGAGAAGGGAAACAUGGUAAAUUAACCUUGAAAAAUAUUUUUUAUAAUAGUAUCUUUAAUUUUAUAGCACUUUUCAUCUAAAAAACCAGGGAUAAUUUCACUUCCGACUGAAAUAUAACAACCCCAGGAGGAAAGCUUGGCAGUUGCCUAAUAGCACACAGCUACACUUCAGAACAGUUUAAGAAAGGAAGUGAAGAAGAACAUGAUAUCUAGUUGAACAUGCAGAGAGAAUUUAGAAAUACAGUAACCUGCAGGGGAGAGGCAGCAGCAGUGAGCAGCUGUUCUACACAAUACUUUAGGACAUGGUGUGAAGAAGAAUACCCGAAUUCAAAUGAAACUACAGGUUGAUUUUAGGAAGGAGAACAUAACAUAGCUUCUAAGGAGCUUGCAUGCACUUCUGACAGGAAGGACUCCUUCGGUGUGUGACUGCCUGAAGCAACAUAUGGAUGUCUUCCAGGGGCCCUCUUCUCAUGCCCAUGCCAAACUCCAAGAAGGGAUGCUGCACAAUUCGGCUUCCUGUUCUGCCUCAUGUGUCACCUGCAGAGGCCUCAUCUGGGGGUGCUUCUUAGUUUCUCGGCUGAAACUGCUGAUGGUGUGACGUGAGCGCAGGUGGACAGAAAUGAGACCACCAACUCGUUUCAUACAGACUACCAAACAAAUCGCCAUCAUAUGACAAUUUUUGAUCACCACCCAUCUUGGACCUGAUCCAAAGUAGUGACGUAAAGAUGAAAGCUUCUAUAUCCCAAUACAAAUCCUCUAAGCCAUUCAAGUCCCUCUAAAUCUCUGACUGUUUGUUAGCUGAAGACUUUUAGUCUGAAUAUAUAGCAUGGGUGGCAUAAAAUGCUCUUCUAAAGUGCACUGAUGUCCUUUUUAUUUUGGAUGCUUAAUCUAUUUCCUUUUUACCUUACAUACAAUUAUUUUUAUUGUACAUCUGUCCUGUGGGAGGACAGCUGUUUCAUAACAUUUUAGUUUUAUUCAACAAGUUGCCUGUUUAAUUAAUUUGCUAGAUCUAACGACUAUGAGCUGUUAUUGCAGUUUGUUGUAUUUAUAAAUGACAAUUUUAU
Long non-coding RNA from Mauremys mutica (yellowpond turtle), 1089 nucleotides. RefSeq lists it as uncharacterized. The transcript has 4 exons. NCBI's taxonomy places the organism in Eukaryota, Metazoa, Chordata, Testudines, Geoemydidae. The record is from RefSeq and is a predicted model, not a curated record.